UACGAAGGGGGCUAGCGUUGCUCGGAAUGACUGGGCGUAAAGGGCGCGUAGGCGGAUGGUACAGUCAGGCGUGAAAUUCCUGGGCUCAACCUGGGGGCUGCGUUUGAUACGUAUUGUCUGGAGUUCGGAAGAGGGUCGUGGAAUUCCCAGUGUAGAGGUGAAAUUCGUAGAUAUUGGGAAGAACACCGGUGGCGAAGGCGGCGACCUGGUCCGAUACUGACGCUGAGGCGCGAAAGCGUGGGGAGCAAACAGG
Molecule: ribosomal RNA, 253 nt
Filed under: uncultured bacterium
Lineage: Bacteria
Description: partial 16S ribosomal RNA
Rfam family: Bacterial small subunit ribosomal RNA
Source: RNAcentral